GACAGAGGGUGCAAACGUUGUUCGGAAUUACUGGGCGUAAAGCGCACGUAGGCGGACUAUUAAGUCAGGGGUGAAAUCCCGGGGCUCAACCCCGGAACUGCCUUUGAUACUGGUAGUCUCGAGUCCGGAAGAGGUGAGUGGAAUUCCGAGUGUAGAGGUGAAAUUCGUAGAUAUUCGGAGGAACACCAGUGGCGAAGGCGGCUCACUGGUCCGGUACUGACGCUGAGGUGCGAAAGCGUGGGGAGCAAACAGG
Molecule: ribosomal RNA, 253 nt
Filed under: uncultured bacterium
Lineage: Bacteria
Description: partial 16S ribosomal RNA
Rfam family: Bacterial small subunit ribosomal RNA
Source: RNAcentral